This 486-nucleotide ribosomal RNA is filed under the name uncultured bacterium. RNAcentral's name for it is "partial 16S ribosomal RNA". It matches the Rfam family "Bacterial small subunit ribosomal RNA", at positions 30 to 507 of the family's 1533-position model. The record is from RNAcentral.
AUUGAACGCUGGCGGCAUGCCUUACACAUGCAAGUCGAACGGCAGCACGGGUGCUUGCACCUGGUGGCGAGUGGCGAACGGGUGAGUAAUACAUCGGAACAUGUCCUGUAGUUGUGGAUAGCCCGACGAAAGCCGGAUUAAUACCGCAUACGAUCCACGGCUGAAAGCGGGAGCCCUUCGGGCCUCGCGCUAUAGGGUUGGCCGAUGCCUGAUUAGCUGGUUGGUGGGGUAAAGGCCUACCAAGGCGACGAUCAGUAGCUGGUCUGAGAGGACGACCAGCCACACUGGGACUGAGACACGGCCCAGACUCCUACGGGAGGCAGCAGUGGGGAAUUUUGGACAAUGGGCGAAAGCCUGAUCCAGCAAUGCCGCGUGUGUGAAGAAGGCCUUCGGGUUGUAAAGCACUUUUGUCCGGAAAGAAAUGCUUGGCUCUAAUACAGUCGGGGGAUGACGGUACCGGAAGAAUAAGCACCGGCUAACUACGUG